CGACCGGCGCACGGUGAGUAACACGUAUGCAAUCCACCUGUAACAGGGGGAUAACCCGGAGAAAUCCGGACUAAUACCCCAUAAUAUGGGCUCUCCGCAUGGAGGGUCCAUUAAAGAGAGCAAUUUUGGUUACAGACGAGCAUGCGCUCCAUUAGCCAGUUGGCGGGGUAACGGCCCACCAAAGCGACGAUGGAUAGGGGUUCUGAGAGGAAGGUCCCCCACAUUGGAACUGAGACACGGUCCAA
RNAcentral lists this ribosomal RNA (245 nucleotides) under uncultured bacterium. Its description in RNAcentral is "partial 16S ribosomal RNA". It matches the Rfam family "Bacterial small subunit ribosomal RNA", at positions 92 to 334 of the family's 1533-position model. The record is from RNAcentral.